RNAcentral lists this ribosomal RNA (253 nucleotides) under uncultured bacterium. RNAcentral's name for it is "partial 16S ribosomal RNA". It matches the Rfam family "Bacterial small subunit ribosomal RNA", at positions 524 to 776 of the family's 1533-position model. The record is from RNAcentral.
UACGUAGGGGGCAAGCGUUGUCCGGAUUUAUUGGGCGUAAAGAGCGUGUAGGCGGUUUGGUAGGUCCGCUGUGAAAACUCGAGGCUUAACCUCGGGCUGUCGGCGGAAACCAUCUGGCUAGAGUCCGGAAGAGGAGAAUGGAAUUCCCGGUGUAGCGGUGAAAUGCGCAGAUAUCGGGAAGAACACCCGUGGCGAAGGCGGUUCUCUGGGACGGUACUGACGCUGAGACGCGAAAGCGUGGGGAGCGAACAGG